UGUUUGCAUGGUUGUAAGUCUCUCUGGAUAAGAGCGUCUGCUAAAUGAUAUAAA
Salmo salar (Atlantic salmon) is the source of this 54-nucleotide non-coding RNA. Lineage: Eukaryota; Metazoa; Chordata; Actinopteri; Salmoniformes; Salmonidae. The record is from Rfam.